UACAGAGACCUCAAGCGUUAUCCGGAAUUACUGGGCGUAAAGCGUCCGUAGGUGGUCUAAAAAGUUAAUGGUCAAACCCUGGGGCUUAACUCCAGGACUGCUGUUAAUACUGUUAGACUAGAGGCCGGAAGAGGCAAGCGGAACUAUCGGUGUAGUCGUAAUAAGCGCUGAUAUCGAUAGGAACACCAAAGGCGAAGGCAGCUUGCUAGUACGUGCCUGACACUCAGGGACUAAAGCGUGGGUAGCGAAAGGG
This 253-nucleotide ribosomal RNA is filed under the name uncultured bacterium. RNAcentral describes it as "partial 16S ribosomal RNA". It matches the Rfam family "Bacterial small subunit ribosomal RNA", at positions 524 to 776 of the family's 1533-position model. The record is from RNAcentral.